GACGAACGCUGGCGGCGUGCUUAACACAUGCCAGUCGAACGGAAAGGCCCUGCUUUUGUGGGGUGCUCGAGUGGCGAACGGGUGAGUAACACGUGAGUAACCUGCCCUUGACUUUGGGAUAACUUCGGGAAACUGGGGCUAAUACCGUAUAGGAGCUCUUGCGGCAUGGUGGGGUUUGGAAGUUUCCGGCGGUUGGGGAUGGACUCGCGGCUUAUCAGCUUGUUGGUGGGGUAGUGGCUUACCAAGGCUUUGACGGAUAGCCGGCCUGAGAGGGUGACCGGCCACAUUGGGACUGAGAUACGGCCCAGACUCCUACGGGAGGCAGCAGUGGGGAAUAUUGCACAAUGGGCGGAAGCCUGAUGCAGCAACGCCGCGUGCGGGAUGACGGCCUUCGGGUUGUAAACCGCUUUCGCCUGUGACGAAGCGUGAGUGACGGUAAUGGGUAAAGAAGCACCGGCUAACUACGUG
This 468-nucleotide ribosomal RNA is filed under the name uncultured bacterium. Its description in RNAcentral is "partial 16S ribosomal RNA". It matches the Rfam family "Bacterial small subunit ribosomal RNA", at positions 28 to 507 of the family's 1533-position model. The record is from RNAcentral.